Molecule: unclassified non-coding RNA, 166 nt
Filed under: Fermentozyma sake
Lineage: Eukaryota; Fungi; Ascomycota; Pichiomycetes; Serinales; Debaryomycetaceae
Description: Candida sake partial internal transcribed spacer region
Rfam family: Eukaryotic small subunit ribosomal RNA (bases 1-46)
Source: RNAcentral
AAGUCGUAACAAGGUUUCCGUAGGUGAACCUGCGGAAGGAUCAUUAAAGUUUGCUUAAUUGCAUUACACAUGUUUUUUUAGAGAACUUGCUUGCAAGAACACUAAUAAUUUACUUAGUCAACAAAUAAAAAUAUCAAAACUUUCAACAACGGAUCUCUUGGCUCCA